CAUUAAGAAGCUAUGCACCAGCGCUAGCCUUUUAAGCUAGAGAAAGUGGGAGACCCCCCCCCUCCUUAAUGA
Molecule: transfer RNA, 72 nt
Filed under: Campephilus guatemalensis
Lineage: Eukaryota; Metazoa; Chordata; Aves; Piciformes; Picidae
Description: tRNA-Lys
Source: RNAcentral